AUUGAACGCUGGCGGCAUGCCUUACACAUGCAAGUCGAACGGUAACGGGCCUUCGGGUGCCGACGAGUGGCGAACGGGUGAGUAAUACAUCGGAACGUGCCCGAUCGUGGGGGAUAACGAGGCGAAAGCUUUGCUAAUACCGCAUACGAUCUACGGAUGAAGGCAGGGGACCGCAAGGCCUUGCGCGGACGGAGCGGCCGAUGGCAGAUUAGGUAGUUGGUGGGAUAAAAGCUUACCAAGCCGACGAUCUGUAGCUGGUCUGAGAGGAUGAUCAGCCACACUGGGACUGAGACACGGCCCAGACUCCUACGGGAGGCAGCAGUGGGGAAUUUUGGACAAUGGGCGCAAGCCUGAUCCAGCCAUGCCGCGUGCAGGAUGAAGGCCUUCGGGUUGUAAACUGCUUUUGUACGGAACGAAAAGCCUUCUUUUAAUACAGGAGGGUCAUGACGGUACCGUAAGAAUAAGCACCGGCUAACUACGUG
RNAcentral lists this ribosomal RNA (482 nucleotides) under uncultured bacterium. RNAcentral describes it as "partial 16S ribosomal RNA". It matches the Rfam family "Bacterial small subunit ribosomal RNA", at positions 30 to 507 of the family's 1533-position model. The record is from RNAcentral.